Molecule: non-coding RNA, 122 nt
Organism: Pelobates cultripes (western spadefoot toad)
Lineage: Eukaryota; Metazoa; Chordata; Amphibia; Anura; Pelobatidae
Source: the annotation of a GenBank genome assembly
CGAGAAAAGAGGGGGUCAAGGGCUGCGCUUGGGUGAAAAAAAUAAAUAAAUAAUAAUUAUAAUUUUUUUAUUUUUUUUUUACCCAAGCGCAGCCCUUGACCCCCUCUUUUCUCGCAUUUCUU